RNAcentral lists this ribosomal RNA (236 nucleotides) under uncultured bacterium. Its description in RNAcentral is "partial 16S ribosomal RNA". It matches the Rfam family "Bacterial small subunit ribosomal RNA", at positions 118 to 351 of the family's 1533-position model. The record is from RNAcentral.
UGAGUAACCUGCUCUUAACUCUGGGAUAAGCCUGGGAAACUGGGUCUAAUACCGGAUAUGACUCCUCAUCGCAUGGGUGGGGGGUGGAAAGCUUUUUGUGGUUUUGGAUGGACUCGCGGCCUAUCAGCUUGUUGGUGAGGUAAUGGCUCACCAAGGCGACGACGGGUAGCCGGCCUGAGAGGGUGACCGGCCACACUGGGACUGAGACACGGCCCAGACUCCGUACGGGGAGGCAG